Molecule: ribosomal RNA, 497 nt
Filed under: uncultured bacterium
Lineage: Bacteria
Description: partial 16S ribosomal RNA
Rfam family: Bacterial small subunit ribosomal RNA
Source: RNAcentral
GAUGAACGCUGGCGGCGUGCCUAAUACAUGCAAGUCGAGCGAACGGACGAGAAGCUUGCUCCUCUGCUGUUAGCGGCGGACGGGUGAGUAACACGUGGAUAACCUACCUAUAAGACUGGGAUAACUUCGGGAAACCGGAGCUAAUACCGGAUAAUAUUUUGAACCGCAUGGUUCAAAAGUGAAAGACGGUCUUGCUGUCACUUAUAGAUGGAUCCGCGCUGCAUUAGCUAGUUGGUAAGGUAACGGCUUACCAAGGCAACGAUGCAUAGCCGACCUGAGAGGGUGAUCGGCCACACUGGAACUGAGACACGGUCCAGACUCCUACGGGAGGCAGCAGUAGGGAAUCUUCCGCAAUGGGCGAAAGCCUGACGGAGCAACGCCGCGUGAGUGAUGAAGGUCUUCGGAUCGUAAAGCUCUGUUAUUAGGGAAGAACAUAUGUGUAAGUAACUGUGCACAUCUUGACGGUACCUAAUCAGAAAGCCACGGCUAACUACGUG